Malus domestica (apple) is the source of this 2809-nucleotide non-coding RNA. The record is from RefSeq and is a predicted model, not a curated record. Lineage: Eukaryota; Viridiplantae; Streptophyta; Magnoliopsida; Rosales; Rosaceae.
CUCAAGCUUACUGGCAACCUCCUUGAGGCGAGACACUUCAGCAUGUAUAAAAUCAAGCUCCUCAUUCUUGGCAAAACAAGCAGAUCAUAGCUCCGAAUUGACACGCUCAAAGUCCUCAACCACCGGAGAAACACAACUUACUUUCUUCUCUGCAGCUUCCAACAUCGCUUGAGUCGCAUUAAGCUUAGCAUUCAGAUGGGCAACCUUCUCACGAGCGAUCUCCAGCUGCAAAGAAUUGGGAGCAGAGACAUUAGACCCUUUCAAAACGGCGAGUUCAGAUUCGAGCUUCUCGAUCUUUUCAGAAGCCGAGUGAAGUUGAACCACCAAUGCCAUUUCAGCCUCCUUGGCACACUUGACAGCAUCAUGAUCAACGCACAUAGAUUCAGCUACCAAGAUUAAAGUCUUAUGCAUUGUAGCAAUCAGGAAUGACCUUCUCGAGUAGUCAGGACGCUUCAUAAAAGAAUCUGAGUGGAUGAUAACUUUCCCAACACUGUUAACAAAUUUGGUGCAUGCGUCAACAUCCUCAAGUAGGUCAGCCUACGUAAAAACCUCAUGAAACUCUCCAACCUCAAAUUCGGUGGAUCUCUCACACUGCCCGUGCGAGCAAAUUUCCCUUUCUCAACAGAUGAGCUAGUCACCGCAGAAGGAUGAUCAGGCCCAGGCACCACCUUAGCAACAGAAUCCACCUUCCUGCUCUUCAUAGCGGCGAGCCUCUCAGAAGCCGAUCCAAACUUAGCUCCCGACAGACGCUUUGAUACAAAGCCGAACACCGAAGGCCCCACCGAACCCUUCCGCUAGGCAAGUCUCUCAACGAUGGAUACAGUCACCUUUGAAGCAGCAGGUUUCAUAAGCUCAAUUUCAACGAUCUUCUUCACCCCCUUAGGGUGGUUAGAUCAAUAACAAGCUUCUCGGUAGCAGACAAGCUCCCAAGAGAAGCGAAAGAAAUUAUUGGCUUCUUCUCAGCUGAAGGCUCAUAAGUAGGUGAACAAGAGCUCUUCUUUCCACCCUUAUUGGCAGCGGGCUUUACAACAGCGAUCGGGUGAGCCAGCCCCUCGUCCUUUAUCCACUUUAUCUCUUACUUCGAAGGCAAACCACCUUUCUCCCAACGAAAAGGGUUGAGCAGCCAGUACCACUCACGGUACUCAAUAAGAAUGCCCAAGGCAACAUGCACUUUCUUCAUAUUUGUCGAGGUCCUUGGAAUGGAGCCAAACUCCGAAUCUACACAACACAAGAAAAACAAUCAAGAAAUUAAAUACAUGAAGCAGCUCUAAAAAAAAUUCAAGCAGGGUAAGAAUGAAGCAGUUCACUUACCACUGAUAAAGGUAGUCGGGACAUGCAGCUCAGGAGAAGAGUCAGACUCCCACUCCCCACUCACCUCCAAGGUGUCUCUAGCCCACUCAUGAUUGCCCUUGCUAGAAGCAUCGAGCAGCCUAUGGCGAGACCUCAGCUGCCCACACCUUCCUUAUGGCCGAUCUCAAAGAAGUAUCAUAACUCAUUUAUGGUUAAGCCAAGAUUAAAGAACCUGCUCAAGUUCAAGAAUCCCAUCAUUGCACAAACUGCAUUUGGGGAGCACUGAGCAGGUGCGCAUUUCAUGGGGCAGAUCACCUCCUGGAAAAGACGUGCAUGGGAAAAACAAAUCCCAACAUGAAGUGAUACGAAUGGAAUUUGAUAGCUUUCUUCCUAGCAGAGGCACCCUUACCACACGGCCUAGGCCACCAAAGACCAAGAGCUGGCCCAAGCCGGACUCUCCAUCUCUCUCACAUCUCCACUUGCAUGGGCCCCUACCCAACAGCUCACAAGGUUCGGCCCAAGCUAACCUUUCAACGCCCUAACGUCGCCAGUACCUCGGCUAAGCCGAGUCGAUCCUCCAGCCGCACCACCUGCAGCCCCGUGGCCUUCCUACCAAGCGCUUCUCACCACCUCGACCCCCACUGAGCAAAUUUUUCAAGUCCCAAGGCUCCCCAAAAAUUCAAGAAGAAGAAAAUUUAAGUUUUUCUUACCUGGUGCAGUACGGAGAAGAAGAAGAACAAUGAGAAACGACUCUUUGCAAGGGAAAGAAAAGAAGAAGGCUAGGGGAAGGGAAUAAAAAUUUCCUCUCGCUUCUCUUCCUUGUUGGAAUAAUGAUUGUUCUCCAAAUUUAUUUAAUCCUCUGCUUAAGGCAGAAUUAAAUAGGUAUUGGGGGCAAUUAUUUUCCUUUUCCUAGAAGAAGUUUAUCUCCAAAUCAAGAAAGAAGAUCACGUUCAAAUCGGGAAACAACUUCACAAGCCUAAGCAGCUUGGGAUUCCUACACGUACAAUCUUUUUCCUACGUGCGACAUGUGGACUUUUAUUCAAGAAAGACAAGAUUGCCCUCAAUAAAUGGGCAAGCUUCUCAGAUGCUUCCACGCACAACUCACAUCCCCAGAGGUCUCAACAGCUAAAUACGACUACCCACAGCUCACCUGACAUUGGCAAGGACUUAAAGAUAAUGAUUAAUUACCCAAAUCAUAUCAUUAAUACAUUCCCUUUUGAAGAUUGACUCCAAUCAAGUGCAUUUCGUCAAAACUGAAGACGGUGGAAAUUUGCAUCGACAACAUUGUUUAUGAACAAGAGGCAGGGUUUAAGGUGUUGCAACGUGGCAAAAGUGCUAUUAUUCGUCUCUCCUGACCGAAGUUGUUGUACUGAAUGAAUUUUGUUUUUGAUGUCCAAGAAAUAAGGAAAUGACCUCACUCAGAUUCAAAAAUCUAACAAGUGAUUCGACCACCAAUAGCCUUCUGGUAUUCUAGAUUACUAUUUUGAAGUAUUAAUAGAAUUACACUUUCCUUAAUUAA